Parelaphostrongylus tenuis is the source of this 72-nucleotide non-coding RNA. The record is from the annotation of a GenBank genome assembly. Lineage: Eukaryota; Metazoa; Nematoda; Chromadorea; Rhabditida; Metastrongylidae.
GCCUCGGUGGUGUAGUGGUAGCACGCGCUCCCGGCAAUGGUGAAACGUGGAUUCAACUUCCGCCUGAAAACA